UGUUUCGGCAAGGGGGUCAUCCCGACUUACCAACCCGAUGCAAACUGCGAAUACCGGAGAAUGUUAUCACGGGAGACACACGGCGGGUGCUAACGUCCGUCGUGAAGAGGGAAACAACCCAGACCGCCAGCUAAGGUCCCAAAGUCAUGGUUAAGUGGGAAACGAUGUGGGAAGGCCCAGACAGCCAGGAUGUUGGCUUAGAAGCAGCCAUCAUUUAAAGAAAGCGUAAUAGCUCACUGGUCGAGUCGGCCUGCGCGGAAGAUGUAACGGGGCUAAACCAUGCACCGAAGCUGCGGCAGCGACGCUUAUGCGUUGUUGGGUAGGGGAGCGUUCUGUAAGCCUGUGAAGGUGUACUGUGAGGUAUGCUGGAGGUAUCAGAAGUGCGAAUGCUGACAUAAGUAACGAUAAAGCGGGUGAAAAGCCCGCUCGCCGGAAGACCAAGGGUUCCUGUCCAACGUUAAUCGGGGCAGGGUGAGUCGACCCCUAAGGCGAGGCCGAAAGGCGUAGUCGAUGGGAAACAGGUUAAUAUUCCUGUACUUGGUGUUACUGCGAAGGGGGGACGGAGAAGGCUAUGUUGGCCGGGCGACGGUUGUCCCGGUUUAAGCGUGUAGGCUGGUUUUCCAGGCAAAUCCGGAAAAUCAAGGCUGAGGCGUGAUGACGAGGCACUACGGUGCUGAAGCAACAAAUGCCCUGCUUCCAGGAAAAGCCUCUAAGCAUCAGGUAACAUCAAAUCGUACCCCAAACCGACACAGGUGGUCAGGUAGAGAAUACCAAGGCGCUUGAGAGAACUCGGGUGAAGGAACUAGGCAAAAUGGUGCCGUAACUUCGGGAGAAGGCACGCUGAUAUGUAGGUGAAGCGACUUGCUCGUGGAGCUGAAAUCAGUCGAAGAUACCAGCUGGCUGCAACUGUUUAUUAAAAACACAGCACUGUGCAAACACGAAAGUGGACGUAUACGGUGUGACGCCUGCCCGGUGCCGGAAGGUUAAUUGAUGGGGUCAGCGCAAGCGAAGCUCUUGAUCGAAGCCCCGGUAAACGGCGGCCGUAACUAUAACGGUCCUAAGGUAGCGAAAUUCCUUGUCGGGUAAGUUCCGACCUGCACGAAUGGCGUAAUGAUGGCCAGGCUGUCUCCACCCGAGACUCAGUGAAAUUGAACUCGCUGUGAAGAUGCAGUGUACCCGCGGCAAGACGGAAAGACCCCGUGAACCUUUACUAUAGCUUGACACUGAACAUUGAGCCUUGAUGUGUAGGAUAGGUGGGAGGCUUUGAAGUGUGGACGCCAGUCUGCAUGGAGCCGACCUUGAAAUACCACCCUUUAAUGUUUGAUGUUCUAACGUUGACCCGUAAUCCGGGUUGCGGACAGUGUCUGGUGGGUAGUUUGACUGGGGCGGUCUCCUCCUAAAGAGUAACGGAGGAGCACGAAGGUUGGCUAAUCCUGGUCGGACAUCAGGAGGUUAGUGCAAUGGCAUAAGCCAGCUUGACUGCGAGCGUGACGGCGCGAGCAGGUGCGAAAGCAGGUCAUAGUGAUCCGGUGGUUCUGAAUGGAAGGGCCAUCGCUCAACGGAUAAAAGGUACUCCGGGGAUAACAGGCUGAUACCGCCCAAGAGUUCAUAUCGACGGCGGUGUUUGGCACCUCGAUGUCGGCUCAUCACAUCCUGGGGCUGAAGUAGGUCCCAAGGGUAUGGCUGUUCGCCAUUUAAAGUGGUACGCGAGCUGGGUUUAGAACGUCGUGAGACAGUUCGGUCCCUAUCUGCCGUGGGCGCUGGAGAACUGAGGGGGGCUGCUCCUAGUACGAGAGGACCGGAGUGGACGCAUCACUGGUGUUCGGGUUGUCAUGCCAAUGGCACUGCCCGGUAGCUAAAUGCGGAAGAGAUAAGUGCUGAAAGCAUCUAAGCACGAAACUUGCCCCGAGAUGAGUUCUCCCUGACUCCUUGAGAGUCCUGAAGGAACGUUGAAGACGACGACGUUGAUAGGCCGGGUGUGUAAGCGCAGCGAUGCGUUGAGCUAACCGGUACUAAUGAACCGUGAGGCUUAACCUUACAACGCCGAAG
Molecule: ribosomal RNA, 2049 nt
Filed under: Escherichia coli
Lineage: Bacteria; Pseudomonadati; Pseudomonadota; Gammaproteobacteria; Enterobacterales; Enterobacteriaceae
Description: partial 23S ribosomal RNA
Rfam family: Bacterial large subunit ribosomal RNA
Source: RNAcentral